GACGAACGCUGGCGGCGUGCUUAACACAUGCAAGUCGAACGGAAAGGCCCUGCUUUUGUGGGGUGCUCGAGUGGCGAACGGGUGAGUAACACGUGAGUAACCUGUCCUUGACUUUGGGAUAACUUCAGGAAACUGGGGCUAAUACCGGAUAGGAGCUCCUGCUGCAUGGUGGGGGUUGGAAAGUUUCGGCGGUUGGGGAUGGACUCGCGGCUUAUCAGCUUGUUGGUGGGGUAGUGGCUUACAAAGGCUUUGACGGGUAGCCGGCCUGAGAGGGUGACCGGCCACAUUGGGACUGAGAUACGGCCCAGACGCCUACGGGAGGCAGCAGUGGGGAAUAUUGCACAAUGGGCGGAAGCCUGAUGCAGCAACGCCGCGUGCGGGAUGACGGCCUUCGGGUUGUAAACCGCUUUCGCCUGUGACGAAGCGUGAGUGACGGUAAUGGGUAAAGAAGCACCGGCUAACUACGU
Molecule: ribosomal RNA, 467 nt
Filed under: uncultured bacterium
Lineage: Bacteria
Description: partial 16S ribosomal RNA
Rfam family: Bacterial small subunit ribosomal RNA
Source: RNAcentral